CCUACGGGGUGCAGCAGUGGGGAAUAUUAGACAAUGGGCGAAAGCCUGAUCCAGCCAUGCCGCGUGUGUGAAGAAGGCCUUCGGGUUGUAAAGCACUUUCAGUGGGGAAGAAAGCCUUGGGGCUAAUACCCUCGAGGAAGGACAUCACCCACAGAAGAAGCACCGGCUAACUCCGUGCCAGCAGCCGCGGUAAUACGGAGGGUGCGAGCGUUAAUCGGAAUUACUGGGCGUAAAGCGCGCGUAGGCGGUCUGAUAAGCCGGUUGUGAAAGCCCCGGGCUCAACCUGGGAACGGCAUCCGGAACUGUCAGGCUAGAGUGCAGGAGAGGAAGGUAGAAUUCCCGGUGUAGCGGUGAAAUGCGUAGAGAUCGGGAGGAAUACCAGUGGCGAAGGCGGCCUUCUGGACUGACACUGACGCUGAGGUGCGAAAGCGUGGGUAGCAAACAGGAUUAGAUACCCCAGUAGUC
Molecule: ribosomal RNA, 465 nt
Filed under: Vreelandella stevensii
Lineage: Bacteria; Pseudomonadati; Pseudomonadota; Gammaproteobacteria; Oceanospirillales; Halomonadaceae
Description: partial 16S ribosomal RNA
Rfam family: Bacterial small subunit ribosomal RNA
Source: RNAcentral